ACGAACGCUGGCGGCGUGCUUAACACAUGCAAGUCGAACGGGUCUGCCCUGUUUUUUGCGGGGUGGGUCAGUGGCGAACGGGUGAGUAACACGUGAGUAACCUGCCCCUCACUUCUGGAUAACCGCUUGAAAGGGUGGCUAAUACGGGGUGUUCUGGCUGUGCCGCAUGGUGUGGCUGGGAAAGAUUCACUUUUGUGGUGUUUUGGUGGGGGAUGGGCUCGCGGCCUAUCAGCUUGUUGGUGGGGUGAUGGCCUGCCAAGGCUUUGACGGGUAGCCGGCCUGAGAGGGUGGGCGGUCACACUGGGACUGAGAUACGGCCCAGACUCCUGCGGGAGGCAGCAGUGGGGGGCAUUGCACAAUGGGCGGAAGCCUGAUGCAGCGACGUCGCGUGAGGGAUGGAGGCCUUCGGGUUGUGAACCUCUUUCGCCGGUGAAGAAGGUCCUGCUCUUUGUGGUGGGGUUGACGGUAGCCGGGUUAUGAAGCGCCGGCUAACUACGUG
Molecule: ribosomal RNA, 499 nt
Filed under: uncultured bacterium
Lineage: Bacteria
Description: partial 16S ribosomal RNA
Rfam family: Bacterial small subunit ribosomal RNA
Source: RNAcentral